RNAcentral lists this ribosomal RNA (561 nucleotides) under Bacillus sp. (in: firmicutes). RNAcentral's name for it is "bacterial SSU rRNA". It matches the Rfam family "Bacterial small subunit ribosomal RNA", at positions 92 to 638 of the family's 1533-position model. Lineage: Bacteria; Bacillati; Bacillota; Bacilli; Caryophanales; Bacillaceae. The record is from RNAcentral.
UUAGCGGCGGACGGGUGAGUAACACGUGGGUAACCUGCCUGUAAGACUGGGAUAACUCCGGGAAACCGGGGCUAAUACCGGAUGCUUGUUUGAACCGCAUGGUUCAAACAUAAAAGGUGGCUUCGGCUACCACUUACAGAUGGACCCGCGGCGCAUUAGCUAGUUGGUGAGGUAAUGGCUCACCAAGGCGACGAUGCGUAGCCGACCUGAGAGGGUGAUCGGCCACACUGGGACUGAGACACGGCCCAGACUCCUACGGGAGGCAGCAGUAGGGAAUCUUCCGCAAUGGACGAAAGUCUGACGGAGCAACGCCGCGUGAGUGAUGAAGGUUUUCGGAUCGUAAAGCUCUGUUGUUAGGGAAGAACAAGUAUCGUUCGAAUAGGGCGGUACCUUGACGGUACCUAACCAAAAAGCCACGGCUAACUACGUGCCAGCAGCCGCGGUAAUACCUAGGUGGCAAGCGUUGUCCGGAAUUAUUGGCCGUAAAGGGCUCGCAGGCGGUUUCUUAAGUCUGAUGUGAAAGCCCCCGGCUCAACCGGGGAGGGUCAUUGGAAACUGGGG